RNAcentral lists this ribosomal RNA (292 nucleotides) under uncultured bacterium. RNAcentral's name for it is "partial 16S ribosomal RNA". It matches the Rfam family "Bacterial small subunit ribosomal RNA", at positions 505 to 796 of the family's 1533-position model. The record is from RNAcentral.
GUGCCAGCAGCCGCGGUAAGACGAAGGAUGCAAGCGUUAUCCGGAUUCAUUGGGUUUAAAGGGAGCGUAGGUGGACUGAUAAGUCAGUGGUGAAAUCUUUGGGCUUAACCCAAAAAUUGCCAUUGAUACUGUUGGUCUUGAGUAUAGUUGCCGUUGGCGGAAUAUGACAUGUAGUGGUGAAAUACAUAGAGAUGUCAUAGAACACCGAUUGCGAAGGCAGCUGACGAAACUAUAACUGACACUGAGGCUCGAAAGUGUGGGGAUCAAACAGGAUUAGAUACCCCUGUAGUCC